UGCCAGCCGCCGCGGUAAUACGGAGGGUGCGAGCGUUAAUCGGAAUCACUGGGCGUAAAGCGUGCGUAGGCGGCGCAGCAAGUCAGACGUGAAAGCCCUCGGCUCAACCGAGGAAUUGCGUUUGAAACUGCUGUGCUUGAGUCGCGGAGAGGUUGGCGGAAUUCCAGGUGUAGGAGUGAAAUCCGUAGAUAUCUGGAGGAACACCGGUGGCGAAGGCGGCCAACUGGAACAUUAUUGACGCUGAGACGCGAAAGCGUGGGGAGCAAACAGGAUAAGAUA
RNAcentral lists this ribosomal RNA (279 nucleotides) under uncultured bacterium. Its description in RNAcentral is "partial 16S ribosomal RNA". It matches the Rfam family "Bacterial small subunit ribosomal RNA", at positions 506 to 784 of the family's 1533-position model. The record is from RNAcentral.